The sequence is a small nuclear RNA, 204 nucleotides long. Its record names the gene U2. It matches the Rfam family "U2 spliceosomal RNA". From Rfam's summary of the family: U2 is a small nuclear RNA (snRNA) component of the spliceosome (involved in pre-mRNA splicing). Complementary binding between U2 snRNA (in an area lying towards the 5' end but 3' to hairpin I) and the branchpoint sequence (BPS) of the intron results the bulging out of an unpaired adenosine, on the BPS, which initiates a nucleophilic attack at the intronic 5' splice site, thus starting the first of two transesterification reactions that mediate splicing. The record is from Ensembl.
AUUGCUUCUCGGCCUUUUGGCUAAGAUCAAGUGUAGUAUAUGAUUAUGAAUAAACAAGACAAUUACCAACUCCCCUUUCACAUUAUGCAGUAUAGACCUAAAUCUAAGGUCUGUUGGCUACCUAAAUCUAAGGUCUUAUGACUUUUAAGUUGGAUAAAAUACUCCUGGGAUAACUAUUCCAUCUGCUUGAUUAGUCAAUAACUU